Molecule: ribosomal RNA, 254 nt
Filed under: uncultured bacterium
Lineage: Bacteria
Description: partial 16S ribosomal RNA
Rfam family: Bacterial small subunit ribosomal RNA
Source: RNAcentral
UACGGGGGGAGCAAGCGUUGUUCGGAUUUACUGGGCGUAAAGGGCGCGUAGGCGGCCUGUGCAAGUCAGUUGUGAAAUCUCCGAGCUUAACUCGGAACGGUCAACUGAUACUGCUCGGCUAGAGUGCGGAAGGGGCAACUGGAAUUCUUGGUGUAGCGGUGAAAUGCGUAGAUAUCAAGAGGAACACCUGCGGCGAAGGCGGGUUGCUGGGCCGACACUGACGCUGAGGCGCGAAAGCUAGGGGAGCGAACGGG